This 252-nucleotide ribosomal RNA is filed under the name uncultured bacterium. RNAcentral describes it as "partial 16S ribosomal RNA". It matches the Rfam family "Bacterial small subunit ribosomal RNA", at positions 524 to 776 of the family's 1533-position model. The record is from RNAcentral.
UACGUAGGGGGCUAGCGUUAUCCGGAAUUACUGGGCGUAAAGGGUGCGUAGGUGGUUUCUUAAGUCAGAGGUGAAAGGCUACGGCUCAACCGUAGUAAGCCUUUGAAACUGGGGAACUUGAGUGCAGAAGAGGAGAGUGGGAUUCCUAGUGUAGCGGUGAAAUGCGUAGAUAUUAGGAGGAACACCAGUUGCGAAGGCGGCUCUCUGGACUGUAACUGACACUGAGGCACGAAAGCGUGGGGAGCAAACAGG